RNAcentral lists this ribosomal RNA (550 nucleotides) under uncultured bacterium. RNAcentral describes it as "bacterial SSU rRNA". It matches the Rfam family "Bacterial small subunit ribosomal RNA", at positions 355 to 896 of the family's 1533-position model. The record is from RNAcentral.
UGGGGAAUAUUGGACAAUGGGCGCAAGCCUGAUCCAGCCAUGCCGCGUGGGUGAAGAAGGCCUUCGGGUUGUAAAGCCCUUUUGUCCGGAAAGAAAAGCUGCCGGUUAAUACCCGGCGGUCAUGACGGUACCGGAAGAAUAAGCACCGGCUAACUUCGUGCCAGCAGCCGCGGUAAUACGAAGGGUGCAAGCGUUACUCGGAAUUACUGGGCGUAAAGCGUGCGUAGGUGGUUCGUUAAGUCUGUCGUGAAAUCCCCGGGCUCAACCUGGGAAUGGCGAUGGAUACUGGCGGGCUAGAGUGCGGUAGAGGAGAGUGGAAUUCCCGGUGUAGCAGUGAAAUGCGUAGAGAUCGGGAGGAACAUCAGUUGCGAAGGCGGCUCUCUGGACCAGCACUGACACUGAGGCACGAAAGCGUGGGGAGCAAACAGGAUUAGAUACCCUGGUAGUCCACGCCCUAAACGAUGCGAACUGGACGUUGGAUGCAACUAGGCAUUCAGUGUCGAAGCUAACGCGUUAAGUUCGCCGCCUGGGGAGUACGGUCGCAAGACUG